GUGCCAGCCGCCGCGGUAAUACGUAGGGGGCGAGCGUUGUUCGGAAUUACUGGGCGUAAAGGGGGCGCAGGCGGUCUGGCAAGUCUGGUGUAAAAGGCUACGGCUCAACCGUAGUGUGCACCGGAAACUGCUGGACUGGAGUCCCGGAGGGGGAGCUGGAAUUCCCGGUGUAGGGGUGAAAUCUGUAGAUAUCGGGAGGAACGCCGGAGGCGAAGGCGAGCUCCUGGCCGGAGACUGACGCUGAGGCCCGAAAGCGUGGGGAGCGAACCGGAUUAGAUACCCGGGUAGUCCUGGCCGUAAACGAUGGAUGCUAGAUGUGGGCGGGGAGACCCGUCCGUGUCGCAAGCUAACGCGUUAAGCAUCCCGCCUGGGGAGUACGGCCGCAAGGUUGAAACUCAAAGGAAUUGACGGGG
This 413-nucleotide ribosomal RNA is filed under the name uncultured prokaryote. RNAcentral describes it as "bacterial SSU rRNA". It matches the Rfam family "Bacterial small subunit ribosomal RNA", at positions 505 to 918 of the family's 1533-position model. The record is from RNAcentral.